Molecule: ribosomal RNA, 483 nt
Filed under: uncultured bacterium
Lineage: Bacteria
Description: bacterial SSU rRNA
Rfam family: Bacterial small subunit ribosomal RNA
Source: RNAcentral
CAAGUCGAGCGAACAGAAAAGGAGCUUGCUCCUUUGACGUUAGCGGCGGACGGGUGAGUAACACGUGGGCAACCUACCUUAUAGUUUGGGAUAACUCCGGGAAACCGGGGCUAAUACCGAAUAACCUCCUUUACUUCAUGGUGAAGGACUGAAAGACGGCAUCUCGCUGUCGCUAUAGGAUGGGCCCGCGGCGCAUUAGCUAGUUGGUGAGGUAACGGCUCACCAAGGCGACGAUGCGUAGCCGACCUGAGAGGGUGAUCGGCCACACUGGGACUGAGACACGGCCCAGACUCCUACGGGAGGCAGCAGUAGGGAAUCUUCCACAAUGGGCGAAAGCCUGAUGGAGCAACGCCGCGUGAGUGAAGAAGGUUUUCGGAUCGUAAAACUCUGUUGUAAGGGAAGAACAAGUACAGUAGUAACUGGCUGUACCUUGACGGUACCUUAUUAGAAAGCCACGGCUAACUACGUGCCAGCAGCCGCGGU